Unclassified non-coding RNA from Dipodomys ordii (Ord's kangaroo rat), 194 nucleotides. Lineage: Eukaryota; Metazoa; Chordata; Mammalia; Rodentia; Heteromyidae. The record is from Ensembl.
CUGCCUUAAACAAAGGAUGGACUGCCAAGCCCCACCACAUCUCAAACCAUGCUUUGAAGGAUCUGCCAAGCUCACUUUUAAUCACGAGAAAGAAAUUACCCACAUGGAGACAGCAGAAAAUGAGAAAGUAGAGCUCGUGCUGCGAAUAAUUCCGGCGAGUGCCAAGGGGCUAGUUGAGGAAUGGCUUCAUGAGG